This 449-nucleotide ribosomal RNA is filed under the name uncultured bacterium. Its description in RNAcentral is "partial 16S ribosomal RNA". It matches the Rfam family "Bacterial small subunit ribosomal RNA", at positions 29 to 523 of the family's 1533-position model. The record is from RNAcentral.
AACGAACGCUGGCGGCAUGCCUAACACAUGCAAGUCGAACGAGAUCUUCGGGUCUAGUGGCGCACGGGUGCGUAACGCGUGGGAAUCUGCCCUUUGGUUCGGAAUAACAGUUGGAAACGACUGCUAAUACCGGAUGAUGACGAAAGUCCAAAGAUUUAUCGCCAGAGGAUGAGCCCGCGUAGGAUUAGCUAGUUGGUGUGGUAAAGGCGCACCAAGGCGACGAUCCUUAGCUGGUCUGAGAGGAUGAUCAGCCACACUGGGACUGAGACACGGCCCAGACUCCUACGGGGGGCAGCAGUGGGGAAUAUUGGACAAUGGGCGAAAGCCUGAUCCAGCAAUGCCGCGUGAGUGAUGAAGGCCUUAGGGUUGUAAAGCUCUUUUACCCGGGAUGAUAAUGACAGUACCGGGAGAAUAAGCUCCGGCUAACUCCGUGUCAGCAGCCGCCGUAA